This 645-nucleotide ribosomal RNA is filed under the name Triticum aestivum (bread wheat). Its description in RNAcentral is "partial small subunit ribosomal RNA". The record is from RNAcentral. Lineage: Eukaryota; Viridiplantae; Streptophyta; Magnoliopsida; Poales; Poaceae.
AUGAACGGAAAUGGUAUAAGCUUGGCCGUGUGGUUCAAUUUGUUGAGCUGGUGGUUCAUUUGGCCGGUAAUGCUACUUGUAGGAAAGGAAGGCUACUGGUCGCGCAGCAUGCGCCAGCAUCACUUGUUUAAGGUGCUCCUCCACUCUAAAUGCAAUAGAAGCAGCAGGAUCGCAAAAAGGAUGGGAUGGGAGGACCUAUGGGGUUCCACGUUCUACUCCUGGUCCAUCCGUGUUCCAGGAGCUAUCAUUGACAAGGUGUUGGAGCUAGUGUCCACAACGGAAGCUAACCAGAUUGACAUCACGGACUCACGGGGCCGAAAUGCCAUGAGGAGACGCAAUCUCUCAUUAGGGGAGGACCUGGCAUGGAGUGUGGGAUUGGAUCUGGAUGAAAGCAUCCUAGUGUGGCACAUCGCCACACAUUUCUACCUUGAGUGGUACUUUAAUAAUAUUCUUAGAGAAGAUUAUUCAGAGGUAAUAGAGUCAUUAGAGGCAAGACUAAGAAUUUGGGAACUUUAUAAGGCAACGGAGGCUCUCUGCAACUGCAACUACAUGUUUUUCAUGCUAGUCUCCCGUCCCUACAGCUGCCUUACCCUAUUACACGCCAGCGGUAUGUCCAGCUGUGCCAUGAUUCCAUCAUUCAUGUAA